Molecule: ribosomal RNA, 253 nt
Filed under: uncultured bacterium
Lineage: Bacteria
Description: partial 16S ribosomal RNA
Rfam family: Bacterial small subunit ribosomal RNA
Source: RNAcentral
CUGCUUUGCUGGCGACCGGCGCACGGGUGAGUAACACGUAUCCAACCUGCCCUUUACUCGGGGAUAGCCUUUCGAAAGAAAGAUUAAUACCCGAUAGUAUAAUGAUUCCGCAUGGUUUCAUUAUUAAAGGAUUCCGGUAAAGGAUGGGGAUGCGUUCCAUUAGGUUGUUGGUGAGGUAACGGCUCACCAAGCCUUCGAUGGAUAGGGGUUCUGAGAGGAAGGUCCCCCACAUUGGAACUGAGACACGGUCCAA